UACGUAUGGGGCAAGCGUUAUCCGGAUUUAUUGGGUUUAAAGGGUGCGUAGGCGGACGCUUAAGUCAGCGGUAAAAUUGCGGGGCUCAACCUCGUCGAGCCGUUGAAACUGGGUGCCUUGAGUGGGCGAGAAGUACGCGGAAUGCGUGGUGUAGCGGUGAAAUGCAUAGAUAUCACGCAGAACUCCGAUUGCGAAGGCAGCGUACCGGCGCCCAACUGACGCUGAAGCACGAAGGCGUGGGUAUCGAACAGG
RNAcentral lists this ribosomal RNA (252 nucleotides) under uncultured bacterium. RNAcentral's name for it is "partial 16S ribosomal RNA". It matches the Rfam family "Bacterial small subunit ribosomal RNA", at positions 524 to 776 of the family's 1533-position model. The record is from RNAcentral.